This is a long non-coding RNA of Struthio camelus australis, 2101 nucleotides long. RefSeq lists it as uncharacterized. The record is from RefSeq and is a predicted model, not a curated record. NCBI's taxonomy places the organism in Eukaryota, Metazoa, Chordata, Aves, Struthioniformes, Struthionidae.
CCUGUGUUGAAAAAGCGUGUCCACCCCGCUCCCCCUUUUUCACUUUUCCUGCCAGCAGAGUGGGUUGCUUACUGCAGCUAAUGGCGCCUUGAGGUGCACCCACCUCUGGGUGCGGGGUGCCUCCUCUCCUGCUCCUCCGUGUGCCCCUGGCUUUCCUCCCGCCUGAAACCACCCCGCAGAGCUUGCCAGCACGGUGGUGGAUGAUGAAAUCUCUGUGUAACGCUAUGAUUUGACCAAAAUAGAGCUAACUGCCCUUCUCAUCGUUUUCCCCCAGGGACUUCUGGGCUGGGUGCUGCUGAGAUUUAGGAAGUUGCCGCUGCGCCUGUAAUGCUAGCAGAGAUUUAGAGAUGCAGGGCUGAAACCCUUUCCAGACCUAGGAGUCAGUGGAGAACCUGGAUUUCACAGUCCUCCUCUGCUUGCUCUGGAUCCCGGUCAGCAUCAACGUUGGGAGAGGUGCAUAACACAGGUAUGGUUCUAAUUGCCGUUGUAUUUCACCGACUGAUGACCCCGAUGUACAAAUCUCGUAGGAUUCUGUGAGAAUACACAAUGAUACGAAUUAGCUUGAAGGAAGAUAUUUUGAAAUGGAUCCUAUUAAUACUUGUAUAGAAGACUUCUGAUCUACAGACCUCAAAGCCCCUUUCAAAGGAGAUAUGAAGCGCUUAGAUUUCCAAACUGAUGGAGUAGGAGAGUGAGAAGAGCAAAAGAGAAGAAAAAAAUGAAGAGGAAAGCGAAAAAUCAGUGGGAGACCGUCACUGAGUUUGAUGGCAAGACGACCAGGCAUAAUAGGAAGACACUGAAGGCAGAGGAAUGUGGCCACCAGCUAUAAUUGACUUAUAAAAUGCCAAGGUUCCUGAUGAUUCGCAUACAAACCUUUACAAAAUUGGGUCCAGAACCAACUUUUCAGAAGAGCUUGCAAGGCUCCAGGAAGGAAGCCCAGAGGAAGGCAAUUCAGUUGCUGGUACGGCUGACAGGAUUGAUUGGAUCUUCGCGUAAAUUCAGUUAAAGCACUGUGGAAGAAGUAUUUUUGGCACCUUUGUGAGCAAGUCUGGAGUAGAAAAGCAGCUCUAUAGGCCUAAGUGAUAAUAAUGAGGAGAGGCAAUCCUGCGGUCCAGGAUAGAGAGGGCUACGCUGCUAAUCUGGAGGCACUUCACGUUUCUGUUGUCCAGAAGAAGGUACAUAUUCCUGUAGAAACCUGGCUGAAACCAGGAGAUCUGCUUGUCAAGGGAGUAAGAUCCUGCAACUGGUCAGCUGGUGGGAGGUACCUUGCUCCUCUGGAAGGCAGUGGCUCUUGCUGAGCUCAGAACUCAGUUUGAACCAGGAGCUGACAGCUGCUGCCUCUCACAAGCACCUCUCUUGAAGAUGCUGUGGCUCCCAGCUCCUUCCUAACAACAUGCUGUUCCUGUCUGCCCGCUUGCCAUCUUGGAUGUCCUGCACUGCUGAUCUGUCUUCUAAACGAUGCGUAAAGGCCCUCCAAUAACAUCAAUACAACAGGGCAGUGAAUCAAAUCAUGCGCAUAAAAAUGCUGAAUACUUCUAGCUUGAAAACUGCCAAACAGAUGUUCCUUGUUUUGGACUCAAAACCGUUCAAGUUUAAAUACAAAAAGAACUGAGCCAAGUGUGAGUGCUUCAGGCUCAAAAAAAUAUUGGAACCAAUGAGGAGUGGUAACCUUGUUUUGUUCUCGCACCAGUGUGCCAAUUCUGUUUAAAGUGCUUUCCCUAAAUUCGCUUCUGUGCUGGGACGGUGUAUGAAAAUCUACAGUUCCAAAGACAUCCUUUUGCAAAAGUUACGGAACAAGUGGAGAGGUUAAGUGGGGAUCACAGUAAAAGCUGGAAUUCAACUUAAAAAAACAAAUGCACCUGAGCCACGUUUAUCUGCCAUGUGUAGUGCAUACUUUUUCAAACACUGUACAGAGUCCUGAUACUUCUUUUUUAAAAGGAUUCUUCAUCUGAAUGUAACUUGAAAUCCUUUCUUUGCCUCAAUUAUAUUGUAAAGUUGACAUAAAUCCACUAGAUUGUGUUAAAUCUUGACAAAUGUUUGCUUAAAUUUCAAUUUUGCCUUUUGUAGAAUCUCCUUAUAUGACAACAACAUGCCAUAUAUGUGA